GGUUUUGGAGGGGGAAUUCAAGCAUUGCAAUGAAGGACAGGUGAGGUGAAGCAGGCAUGUGGCGAGGCAGAGGUGACUGUGUCCUCGUCUUCAGUGAACCCAAGAUCAGACCCACACCAAGAACAGUUUGAAUCUCCUUCACUACCUUUCUGUGUCAGUGUCCCAUCUUCACUUUCUCCCCUCCCUCCUCAUCCUCACCGGCCAGAGUCGUCCUGUUACAGCUCUGCCUCAGACAUGUGUCGCACACAAUCUCAACUGCUUCUGGCUGCAGAGAGGCAGCAGUGAAACCAUUACAGCAGAGGUCAAGGUCAACCCCCCCUCUCUCAUGAACAUUAGGAAAAACCUCUGAAGUGGGUGUUGAGCUGCAAGGAGAGUUCUGACACACUCAUUCACAGUUCAUUUCAUCUCUCUUAUUUAUGCUAAUGUUUUUCAUUUGCUUGUUAAGUUGUUUUUCUUGGCAUUUUCAAGGCGCUGCAUUAUUGCACGGUUCGUUCCUCAUAAACAUUUUAUAGAUACAAUA
This is a long non-coding RNA of Notolabrus celidotus (New Zealand spotty), 520 nucleotides long. RefSeq lists it as uncharacterized. The record is from RefSeq and is a predicted model, not a curated record. NCBI's taxonomy places the organism in Eukaryota, Metazoa, Chordata, Actinopteri, Labriformes, Labridae. The transcript is spliced from 3 exons.